GACACACCGAGGUUCUACUGGAAGGCUGAGCAGGAUUUCAGAUCAAUUUUCUAGUCAAGACAUUGCAUCCCAUGCUUCAAGAUGAAACCUGUGGGCUGAACCCAAUCCACUCAGCCUGAGAUAAGGAGAGAACAGACCUCACUUACAUGACCUAGUGACCACCUUCUCCUCUAGGUCACACUGGGAAGAAGGAACCCCUUCCUUGACGGUAUACAAGAAGAGAAUCAGCCCCACUGGAGUUACUGCUGAUUUACAAUAGGGCAAGAAUCCAUCUGGGAGCUUGGCUGGGCUGAUGAGGGAAGUGAUAAAGCAAAGCAGGUGGGGCUGUGCAAUAGGCCAGAGCCCAGGGACCUUCAACACAGCUGUCUGCAUCAGCCUGGCCUUGGGUACCUACCUGUAUUGUCCACCUGGGCAAAGAACUUUAAGUCUCUCUUUUUAAUGAGCAAAAGGAAUGCUUUGCCUUUCAGAAUAACCUGCAAAUGUACAUUACACAGUCAAGGAACGCUCUCAGAUACAGGUGUGAUUCUAAGGACAGAGCAAGGCAAUCACUGCCAUAGAUAAGAAUCAAAUGGCUUUUUCAAAAUCUUACAGACUGUACCACGUAUGAUGAUCCACUGUUUUUUUUUUUUUUAUUUUGCUUCCAUUUCCUGUCACUGCCUUAUUCCAUGGGAAAACUCAGCCUUCAAAAGAGCAGAGCAAAAAAUUCAGCUUCCUGUCCUUGGUUUUCUGUAAAAGUCUUGCAGAACUGACUAAUGUGUUUCAAAUUCAGCAGUUAAAAGGGGAGAGGGCACUGCUGCAGGCAGGAUGACCUGUAUGUUGCAGCAAGGAUGCUGGCUGGCCAGGACAAAUGUCAUGUCUAAUCCAACCACACCGCAUGUAAAGACCCGAACUUAAAUUCACCUGAGCACUUGGGGUUCAGAGAAUGGGCCAGCUCCACACCAAGUCCAGACUGCAGUUCAGGACACUGAGAUACUAAGGGUAACCCAUUCAGGAAAGGCAAACAGCUACACCAGGUAUGCAGGCCUUCCAGAUGCUUCCAGUAGAAUGAACAACUCACUAC
Long non-coding RNA from Tympanuchus pallidicinctus (lesser prairie-chicken), 1060 nucleotides. RefSeq lists it as uncharacterized. NCBI's taxonomy places the organism in Eukaryota, Metazoa, Chordata, Aves, Galliformes, Phasianidae. The transcript is spliced from 3 exons. The record is from RefSeq and is a predicted model, not a curated record.